UACGUAGGGUGCAAACGUUGCUCGGAAUUAUUGGGCGUAAAGCGCACGUAGGCGGCUUAGCAAGUCGGAUGUGAAAUCCCUCGGCUCAACCAAGGAAGUGCAUCCGAAACUGCUGAGCUUGAGUACGAAAGAGGAUCGCGGAAUUCCCGGUGUAGAGGUGAAAUUCGUAGAUAUCGGGAGGAACACCAGUGGCGAAGGCGGCGAUCUGGGUCGAUACUGACGCUGAGGUGCGAAAGCGUGGGGAGCAAACAGG
This 253-nucleotide ribosomal RNA is filed under the name uncultured bacterium. RNAcentral describes it as "partial 16S ribosomal RNA". It matches the Rfam family "Bacterial small subunit ribosomal RNA", at positions 524 to 776 of the family's 1533-position model. The record is from RNAcentral.